RNAcentral lists this ribosomal RNA (437 nucleotides) under uncultured Desulfobulbus sp. Its description in RNAcentral is "bacterial SSU rRNA". It matches the Rfam family "Bacterial small subunit ribosomal RNA", at positions 952 to 1382 of the family's 1533-position model. The record is from RNAcentral. Lineage: Bacteria; Pseudomonadati; Thermodesulfobacteriota; Desulfobulbia; Desulfobulbales; Desulfobulbaceae.
AGGUGCAACGCGAAGAACCUUACCUGGUCUUGACAUCCCGGAGACCCUUAGGAAACUAGGGGUGCUUCCAUCUGGAAGAAAUCUGGAGGACAGGUGCUGCAUGGCUGUCGUCAGCUCGUGUCGUGAGAUGUUGGGUUAAGUCCCGCAACGAGCGCAACCCUUGCCUUUAGUUGCCAGCAGUUCGGCUGGGCACUCUAAAGGGACUGCCGGUGUUAAACCGGAGGAAGGUGGGGAUGACGUCAAGUCCUCAUGGCCUUUAUGACCAGGGCUACACACGUACUACAAUGGCCGAUACAAAGGGCAGCGACACUGCGAGGUGAAGCCAAUCCCGUAAAAUCGGUCUCAGUCCGGAUUGGAGUCUGCAACUCGACUCCAUGAAGUUGGAAUCGCUAGUAAUCGUGGAUCAGCAUGCCACGGUGAAUACGUUCCCGGGCCUU